Molecule: unclassified non-coding RNA, 236 nt
Filed under: air metagenome
Description: partial contains small subunit ribosomal RNA, internal transcribed spacer 1, and 5.8S ribosomal RNA
Rfam family: Eukaryotic small subunit ribosomal RNA (bases 1-46)
Source: RNAcentral
AAGUCGUAACAAGGUUUCCGUAGGUGAACCUGCGGAAGGAUCAUUAUAGAGACUUUACCUCUUUGAGGUUCUAUCUCCUACCCCUGUUUACUUUACCGUGUUGCUUUGGCAGGCCUGUCUUCUGGCUACCAGCUUCUGCUGGUUUGUGCCUGCCAGAGAACCCCAAACUCGUGUCUUUUGCUGUCUGAGUAUCAUAGAAUGCAUUAAAACUUUCAACAACGGAUCUCUUGGUUCUG